This is a long non-coding RNA of Vespa crabro (European hornet), 3985 nucleotides long. RefSeq lists it as uncharacterized. The record is from RefSeq and is a predicted model, not a curated record. NCBI's taxonomy places the organism in Eukaryota, Metazoa, Arthropoda, Insecta, Hymenoptera, Vespidae. The transcript is spliced from 3 exons.
UUUUCCUCGUCCCGCUGGCAUAAGCGCUGUUUAUGGAGACCACGGGCGGCAUCUCCCGUUGAGCUUAGUGUUACUACUGCGCAAGCAGACUUGGUCUCAGUUACGAGCGAGAGGGAUUUUCUGCUGGAUGAGAAUGCUAUCCCGCUCUGACAGCCUCGUAUUCCUCUUUCUUUCUCCGUCUUUUCCUCUUUCUCUCUUUCUGUCUUUAGUUUGCUAGCGUGGUUCCCUUUUAUCAGGGAUCUUCCAAUGUAAUGUAUAAAAAUAAGGCUGUUUGAGGUGUACGCGUUUCACGUAACAGAAAGCAGCUUGCAAUGGAUCGCAAGACUCAGUGGUUCCUUUGCUUCAAGAACUACUCCUGUGAUUUCACCUUCGACCUGUCUGGCAUUUGAAUCCGUCGCGCGUUCAUGCACAAGACGACGUUCCUGGAUAUUAUCUCUUGUCUCCUUGAUUUUGUCUAUCCUAUUUAGGAUUUCCACGCGUGUUUGCUCUUAAGAUGCAUUGUUGAGAACCCGGUAAGCGAAUUGCAGAUUGAAAUUCUUUCGUUCAAUGACGUUAAUGAUGAUAUUUAAUAAAUAAUUGAUUAAUCAUUAAAUGCCAUAACUCAUGGUUUGAAAAUUGUUCCAUUAAAAUCCAAUCAUAAAACUCUUUCAACGAAGUGUCAUCAUUUCUGAUCAAUAAUCUCUCUUUAAACCAUAUUAGAGUUCAAAAGCUUACUUGAAGGUUUUCAAACGCGGUGACCCAUCGAAGCAGAUUAAAAGCUGCAAAAGAGCUUCUUUUGCCUCUACUAACUUUACCUUUUUUUUGUUUUCUACGUCCAGAGAAAGAGAGAGAGAGAGAGAGAAAAGCAUAUCGAACUGCAAGUAAGAGGCUUUCGUCUUUCAAGUCCCACUAACUUCUUCAACUUGUAAUUCUUUUCUGGUAGACUGAAGCUAAGUUAUCUUUCUCAUUUCUAGUGUUUUGGUUUGACUUCAAAUAUGACUCACCAUAAUUCAUAUUAUUUAUCUAAUUUUAUUAAAAAGUAUGGGAUAUCAUAAAACUCAGAAAUAAUCAAAAUUUUUAUAACAUCAAAUGUUCAAUAUUCUUUGAAUAGUCGUUCAAUAAUCUGCAAAAUUUUUGAACUAUCCUGAAUCAUUCUGGUGCAUAAAAUGGACGAUAUUAGUAUAUAUCGAGUUUAUACAGUGUAGCUGGCUGGGCUUACGAAAGGCUGGAUGUUCCAGGAGAGAAGAAAGGGACGAGGCUGGACUCAGGUGUUCUACCGCGAACCAUCACCAUGUAACAGUUUGAAAAAGUUGAGAAACAUGGUAUUGACGCUGUGGGGAAUUGAAGCCGGCUAACACUCGGUCCAAUUCUGCUCUAAUUAAAAGAAAUUUUUGUUACUACGCCCAAGAGAUACGCAUACUCAAAAAAUAUUCGUUCAAUGAACAUUGACAAAUGAAUACUCUUAUUUUAAUGAUAAGAUGCUUCGAAGAAUUAAAACCGAUGUUAUCCAAAUGAAAAAAAAAAAAAAAAAAAAAGAAUUAUAUAAAUUAGAAAUUUUUAAGAAUCUUUUUGUACUCUUUCAAUCUGUCAAAGAGUUGAACGAUUAGCGAGAAAAUUAUGUUCGCUAAGGUGUCCCGUUUAUAAGCCAAAAUCACAACUUUCAACGACGUCGAAAUUAAUUGAAUAAUUUCGAAUAAUUCGAUCUAAUCUGCGGCAUGGCUGACGGUUAACUUUCGUGACGCGCGACCGUCUACAAAGACGUUAAUUAAGUGAUUCAAUUAUAGCAUCCGAGAAAAUUAAGAUUCGUCGUGGAAAACCAAACUUCAAAAUAAGGCAACGGAACGGUCGCUGUACACAGACUGAAUUUUAAUCGCUGCGAAAUAUUUCGAGAUUACUUAUUCCACGAAUUAUUAUUUCUUUAUCCUUUUACGCGCCGUCCGGUUUUCCAUCGAUCGCGCGAAACUCGCUUUAUCAUCAUCCUUUGUCGUUUUUUUAAAUUGAAUAAAGGGGAGAAAUAUUAUGAGAUCGAUGGAAAAUAUGUAGGUGAUGACAAACCGAUGAAGUAAAAUAUGUAAAUUCCUAAAAAUUUCAGAGCAAAAUGAAAAACAAAAUCAAUCCCGUUUUCGAAUAUUUCGAAGGUAUUUGUUUUUGUUAAAAUCCAUUGUUAUCGGCAAAAGCAUUGUUAUCGGCCAAAUAAAUUCCAUUCAACGAUAAAUCAAACUUCAUAUAGUUUUAUUCAUUCUUACGGUCUAAGUUUGGAUUUGAGAAAGGAAAAAGAAAAAAAUAACUAGACCACGCCUUACUACGGAAUAUUAAAUUUGAUUCGUGCCAACGAUAAAAGAGCUUAUUAGAUGCACGUGCAUGAUUCCUUCCGAAAGAGCGACUCUUCUAAAAGGGGAGAAACAACCACUGUGCAUCUUCGUCAUUGCAUCUCUGUGUGCGUGUAUUUGUAUACAUGCUCCGUUCCUCUUGGCGGAUAUUACACUAACGUAUGAGUUAUGAUCCAGUGGUACGCGGGCCAACUAAUAAUUAGUUUUGGCAGAUGGAAAGUCGCAGAAAGAAAUGGGUGAGCGAUGAACGAACGCAAGAAAGGAUGGGGUUCGUUAUAAAUGCAAAAAUGAAUCAGAGCAAACGUUUUUUAACCAACAUAACGAUCCAUCUAUACCUCCAAGCCUUGUAUUUAUAACCAAUCCAUCAAUUUUCCAAGCCGCAAAAACGAAUCUCGAAGCUGUAGUUCGCCUCGUGGGAAAAUACCCUAAGUGGAUUUUAAUGUCCACGCGAGGACGUUUCUUCCAUUCCAUUUUCCUUCAUUCUUUAUUUGCGAUACUUAAGAUGACAGAUGAAAAACGAAACAAGAAGGGACAAACCUGUCGCCAUUAAACGAACCGAAAAGUGAUAUCAUUCGAUUGUAGAAAUACAUAAAUACCUGUAAGUAAAAGCAAUGCAGUUACUCCUUUAUUUUUCAUUUAAAGUCCAUCUUUUUUGGGAUUCCAUUUUCCAAAGUUGGAAAACUUAACGUUAAGUCAAAUGUCGAAUCGAAUCUUCCGAUUGAUCGGAAGUUCUGUCUCUUUUAAUACCUUUUAGAUUCAAAACGUAGAAACCGUUCCGUUCGACAGGAUAUUAUUCUAACAACGAUGUCUAGAUAUAUUCGAGAACGACCUACUUCCAAUAACCCAGAUCGUUUUUUUUCUCUCUCUUGGCAAAGGGAAAAAACUUGGAUGUAAUGAUAAAAGCUUGUCCCACUUGUCCGAGGAUAUAAAAAGAACAAGAGAACAGGAAAUAUACGCCAACGGGCAAAUUGAGGAAAAGGGGUGGUUCGAACAUUUUGGACAACGUCCAUUUUUAUGGGCCACGCGAUGUUGACUAGUCUUGUUCUUAGCUAGAAUUCUCUCUCUCUCCCCCCACCCUCUCUCUCUCUUUCUCUCUCUCUCUCUCUCUCUCUCUCUCUCAUUCUCUCGUGACUUUAAUAUGCACCCCUUCCAGAAAUUGAAUUCACCCUCUGCGACUUUUUCAUCCCCUUAUUCCCCCACCCGAAAUUCUCAGCGUGUCAUUUUCGUCCCGCAGACAACUUCCUAACGCAGGUGCAGCGAGAUUCGUAAUAUGGAUUUAAGAACGGUGCUCGAUAUUGACGGAUAUGGGAACCCCUGCGGUGGUAAAUGCUCUCCACGAGCUGCGAAACUAUCGAAAAUGCUUAUUGUUGGGACGAAACGUUGCAGUUAUUUUCUGCUGACUCAUUGCAGUUGUGGUGAACCUGAUUUCUUGAGUAUUACUCAAUAUGACCUUGCACGACUUUGUUUGCUGCUCUCUGUUGUGUUUCCAAUUUCUUAAUAAUACGCAAUUUUGUAAUCUUUCCUCUUGUCGAUAAUAAAAGAUGCAUUAAGUGUCCUUUUUCAAAUAAAAAGUUAUACCAAUUUUAAAUAGAUAAACGUAAGGACGAUCGAUAAACUGGAUCUAAAUAUAAAGUCAUCAUGAAAUAUUCAAUGGGAUAUUGUGAAAAUAAAGCCGA